GUUUAUUUUUUAUUUUUAUUCUAUUUUUGUAAAAUGGUUUAGUUUUUUGUUUGUUUGAGAAGGUUUUUAAAAUUUGUUUUUUGAACUGGACUAGUACCCAGGUAAUCAAAAUUUAUUAAUUCGGGAGUAAAGUUUUAUUUAAACCGAAAAAAUAUUGACUGACUUUGGAUUUUUCUUUGGAACAUGUGUUUUGGAUAGUCCUCCUUAUUAGUUAAUUUUUUUGGCUCAUGUAUGAUUGUUUAGUUUUUAUUUUUUUUGUGAUGCUGUUCUCGGUUUUGUUAUAAAACAGAUAUAUAUUUGGCUUAUAUAUUAAUUUUACAUGUGUUACUAUUGUCAAUUUUCUUUGGAUUUUUUUUUUAUUGUUUUUUGAAAUUGGAAAAGAAAGUAAUUAAUUUUUUAUGUUUUAAUGAAUUU
This 414-nucleotide ribosomal RNA is filed under the name Litomosoides solarii. RNAcentral describes it as "partial 12S ribosomal RNA". The record is from RNAcentral. Lineage: Eukaryota; Metazoa; Nematoda; Chromadorea; Rhabditida; Onchocercidae.